Molecule: unclassified non-coding RNA, 433 nt
Filed under: soil metagenome
Description: partial contains 5.8S ribosomal RNA, internal transcribed spacer 2, and large subunit ribosomal RNA
Rfam family: 5.8S ribosomal RNA (bases 1-120)
Source: RNAcentral
GAUGAAGAACGUAGUGAAAUGCGAUACGUAAUGUGAAUUGCAGAAUUCAGUGAAUCAUUGAAUCUUUGAACGCAUAUUGCGCUCUCUGGUAUUCCGGAGAGCAUGCUUGUUUGAGUAUCAGUAAACACCUCAACUUCCAUAUCUUUUUUGAAAUGGGAGUUGGACUUGAGUGAUCCCAACGCUUUUCCUCACCGAAAAGUGGCGGGUUACUUGAAAUGCAGGUGCAGCUGGACUUUUCUCUGAGCUAUAAGCAUAUCUAUUUAGUCUGCCUAAAAAACAGAUUAUUACCUUUGCUGCAGCUAACAUAAAGGAGAUUAGUUCUUGUGCUGACUGAUGCAGGAUUCACAAAGACAGGCUUCGGCCGACUUUGUAAACUCGAUCUCAAAUCAAGUAAGACUACCCGCUGAACUUAAGCAUAUCAAUAAGCGGAGGA